UACGAAGGGGGCUAGCGUUGCUCGGAAUCACUGGGCGUAAAGCGCACGUAGGCGGAUCUUUAAGUCAGGGGUGAAAUCCCAAGGCUCAACCUUGGAACUGCCUUUGAUGCUGGGGAUCUCGAGUCCGGAAGAGGUUGGUGGAACUGCGAGUGUAGAGGUGAAAUUCGUAGAUAUUCGCAAGAACACCAGUGGCGAAGGCGGCCAACUGGUCCGGAACUGACGCUGAGGUGCGAAAGCGUGGGGAGCAAACAGG
RNAcentral lists this ribosomal RNA (253 nucleotides) under uncultured bacterium. RNAcentral describes it as "partial 16S ribosomal RNA". It matches the Rfam family "Bacterial small subunit ribosomal RNA", at positions 524 to 776 of the family's 1533-position model. The record is from RNAcentral.